GAUGAAGAACGUAGCGAAAUGCGAUAAGUAAUGCGAAUUGCAGAAUCCGUGAGUCAUCGAAUCUUUGAACGCACAUUGCGCCCCUUGGUUAUUCCGAAGGGCAUGCCUGUUCGAGCGUCAUUAUCACCCCUCAAGCCCUGGCUUGGUGUUGGACUUUAGUUAUAGCUUUGCCUAUCAACUGGUCUCAAAGAUAGUGACGGCGCCCCAGAGGGAACCGGGUACGAGGAGCUUUUUACUAAGCAUGUAUCUGGGACGACUCUGGGCGACGGUCUUGUUAUACUUUUUACCUAAGUGUUGACCUCGGAUCAGGGAGGAAUACCCGCUGAACUUAAGCAUAUCAAUAAGCGGAGGA
This 352-nucleotide unclassified non-coding RNA is filed under the name soil metagenome. Its description in RNAcentral is "partial contains 5.8S ribosomal RNA, internal transcribed spacer 2, and large subunit ribosomal RNA". The stretch from base 1 to 120 matches the Rfam family "5.8S ribosomal RNA", at positions 35 to 154 of the family's 154-position model. The record is from RNAcentral.